Molecule: ribosomal RNA, 319 nt
Filed under: uncultured eukaryote
Lineage: Eukaryota
Description: partial 18S ribosomal RNA
Rfam family: Eukaryotic small subunit ribosomal RNA
Source: RNAcentral
CCCUUAGAUGUUCUGGGCAGCACGCGCGCUACAAUGGUCUUCGCAAACGGAUGCAUUCUCGAAGGAGAAUGCCAAUCUUGGAAUCUAUGCCUUGGUCGGGACAGUUGCUUGCAAUUUUUCGACUCGAGCCAGGAAUUCCUUGUAAUCGUGAUUCAUCACAUCACGAUGAAUACGUCCCUGCCCUUUAUACACACCGCCCGUCGCUCCUACCGAUCGAAGAGUUAGGUGAAUUGUUUUGAUCGAUAAGAUUUGACUAUGGUCAACUCUCGUUGUGAAAUUCUGUGAAUCUGACUGUUUAGAGGAAGGAAAAGUCGUAACA